UUGAUAACAGCAUGCUUAGGUCCUCCCCAUCACAGAGAAGUAAUCAAGUAAAUACACUGGUCUAUAUGAUCUUCAAAAAAAAAGAAAAAAAGCCUUCAUUCAGCUCGAAAAUGCCAAUUCAACAAACAAAAUUAAGUUCCAAUACCAAAUCGCGAUGCAUAAAUUGAAUUUAAAGGAAAAAUUGCAUUGCCAUAGUGACAGCUAAAAGAACAUGCUUAUGAGUUGUGGCACAAAUCUUAAACCUCCAAUGGAAGUUUCUAAGGAAUUAAAACCAAAACCCUAAUCAACGGAACAGUAAAUGUAACCGCAGAUACUCUGUACUAUUAAACCAAAAAUUCAAAACCCACGGUACAG
This 354-nucleotide unclassified non-coding RNA is filed under the name Hevea brasiliensis (rubber tree). The record is from RNAcentral. Lineage: Eukaryota; Viridiplantae; Streptophyta; Magnoliopsida; Malpighiales; Euphorbiaceae.